This 249-nucleotide ribosomal RNA is filed under the name Triticum aestivum (bread wheat). Its description in RNAcentral is "partial small subunit ribosomal RNA". The record is from RNAcentral. Lineage: Eukaryota; Viridiplantae; Streptophyta; Magnoliopsida; Poales; Poaceae.
CGCAAAGGACUGUCAUCGUUGAUCAUCCUCUUGGCUUGGAGCAUAUGGAAGCAUCGUAACAGUGCAAUCUUCGACGAAGGCCUGGUCUCGGUGAGCAAUCUCGUGGCUUGCAUCAAGGACGAUGCUAGGUUGUGGACGACGGCUGGCGCCAAAGGACUUGAUCGUAUAAUCCCUGUAACCCGAUCUCCUGUUUUGGGGCCGAGCACCCCCUUCUUCUGCUCACCAAGCUCUCCUAUUGACGCUUGUUAG